GAUGAACGCUGGCGGCGUGCCUAAUACAUGCAAGUCGAGCGAACAGACGAGGAGCUUGCUCCUCUGACGUUAGCGGCGGACGGGUGAGUAACACGUGGAUAACCUACCUAUAAGACUGGGAUAACUUCGGGAAACCGGAGCUAAUACCGGAUAAUAUAUUGAACCGCAUGGUUCAAUAGUUAAAUACGGUUUUUCUGUCACUUAUAGAUGGAUCCGCGCCGCAUUAGCUAGUUGGUAAGGUAACGGCUUACCAAGGCAACGAUGCGUAGCCGACCUGAUAGGGUGAUCGGACACACUGGAAGUGAGACACGGUCCAGACACCUACGGGAGGCAGCAGUAGGGAAUCUUACGGAAUGGGGGAAAGCCUGACGGAGCAAAGCCGCGUGAGAGAUGAAGGUCUUCGGAUCGUAAAACUCUGUUAUUAGGGAAGAACAAAAGUGUAAGUAACUAUGCACGUCUUGACGGUACCGAAUCAGAAAGCCACGGCUAACUACGUG
Molecule: ribosomal RNA, 497 nt
Filed under: uncultured bacterium
Lineage: Bacteria
Description: partial 16S ribosomal RNA
Rfam family: Bacterial small subunit ribosomal RNA
Source: RNAcentral